GUGCUCCCUUCAGCAGCUCAUAUACUAAAAUGGGACGAUACAGAGAAGAUUAGCAUCACCCCUGAACAAGGAUGACACACAAAUUCAUGAAGCACUCCAUAUUUUU
This is a small nuclear RNA of Meriones unguiculatus (Mongolian gerbil), 106 nucleotides long. The record is from Ensembl. Lineage: Eukaryota; Metazoa; Chordata; Mammalia; Rodentia; Muridae.